RNAcentral lists this ribosomal RNA (339 nucleotides) under uncultured bacterium. Its description in RNAcentral is "bacterial SSU rRNA". It matches the Rfam family "Bacterial small subunit ribosomal RNA", at positions 1 to 334 of the family's 1533-position model. The record is from RNAcentral.
GACGUAUGUUCAGAGUUUGAUCCUGGCUCAGGACGAACGCUGGCGGCGUGCCUAACACAUGCAAGUCGAACGGGGUAAAGAGCUUCGGUUCUUUACUUAGUGGCGAACGGGUGAGUAACGCGUGAGAAACCUGCCUCUCAGUGGGGGACAACAGUUGGAAACGACUGCUAAUACCGCAUAACACUUUAGUACCGCAUGGUACAGAAGUCAAAGCUUUAUGUGCUGAGAGAUGGUCUCGCGUCUGAUUAGCUAGAUGGCGGGGUAACGGCCCACCAUGGCGACGAUCAGUGGCCGGUCUGAGAGGAUGAACGGCCACAUUGGGACUGAGAUACGGCCCAG